GCCCAGAUGGCGGAACUGGUAGACGCGGCGGACUCAAAAUCCGCUUUCUGAAAGGAAGUGGGGGUUCGAUUCCCCCUUUGGGCA
Molecule: transfer RNA, 84 nt
Filed under: Pseudomonadota bacterium
Lineage: Bacteria; Pseudomonadati; Pseudomonadota
Also listed under: 1 other name
Description: tRNA-Leu
Rfam family: tRNA
About the family: Transfer RNA (tRNA) molecules are approximately 80 nucleotides in length. Their secondary structure includes four short double-helical elements and three loops (D, anti-codon, and T loops).
Source: RNAcentral